RNAcentral lists this long non-coding RNA (1500 nucleotides) under Fukomys damarensis (Damara mole-rat). Its description in RNAcentral is "lncRNA (ENSFDAG00000032610.1)". Lineage: Eukaryota; Metazoa; Chordata; Mammalia; Rodentia; Bathyergidae. The record is from RNAcentral.
UCAACGAUGAGUAUAGUUGUGGUUGUUGUAUUACUGCUUUUCUCUGAUCCUUCCCAAGACUGCUUGCAAAGCUCCUUUUGUAGAUGUAAUUGUAUUUUAAAUGACGUUGACUUCUUAUUUAACUUGAAUAUAAAUUCAGUGGAGUAUAUGUGUAUCGUAGCAAGUCUUGAGAAGUCUUCAAACCUUUUCAGUCAUCUAAAGAUAGCAAAUGACUUCCUGGGGUCAAUGCCAAGGAGAGAAAUUAUCAGACCAGAGGGUAUGCACUAUUCGAUCCAGGAUCUGGAUGCCUUUUCAGCUUUUGCUGAGAUGCUUGGGAGUUCCAAGAUGAGUCCUGGCCAGAGAGAAAACACAGCCACCGUGCCAGUCUUUCCAGAGCAGGCCUGCAUUCCGUGGGCGGCCUGGGAUGGAGUGGGAUCCACUUCCCCCCAAUAGCUGUCACUCCAAGAUGGGAAGUGGUGUGGGGGUGCCAGCACUGGGAGGGUUACGUGUGUCCCAGUCUUCCAAAUUGUGCAAUUUCUGUGACCAGCUGAAAACCUCCAGGGGAUUAAGCAUGACAGGAAAAGAACAAAGAGAGUGUGGCCUUCAACUGCUUCCAUGAGAUCUUUCCCAAAUCACAGGGUGGCGGGAACUCUAUUAACCUUGAGGUCAGCAACUUCAAAAGCAGAAAGUGGCCUGGACUUCUCCCAAUUCUUCAAAACACAAGAACCCCCAUCCACUCCUGGGAGACACCCCUCAGUCUCUCUCCCUCAGUGCCAAAGUUGCACCUCCCCAGAUCCCUGGAUGCUUUGCACAAGAGUGCAGUGUCUGCUGUCACUCCAGACAUGGCUGACAUGCUAAAGAAAAAUUCCCAAGUGACUUGACUGUGAUGUGCACCUGAAUGUCAGAAAUGAAAAAAAAAAUUAAAUUGAAGAAAUACCAUUUAUUUGUAUUUUACCUUAUGUCAAAUAGGACACAAUGUGGCAGCACUUUAAAAUAGAGGAAAAUAAAAACUACAGAAUCUUCAAAAUAAGAAAAGCGGAAUAAGAAUAUAUCCUGAUCCGGGUGUUGCUAGGACCCAUGCUCUGAAGUGCCUGUCUCUACUGUGAACAGGCCCACAAAUUAGACAAAGAGACCAUUAAAGGAUUUGGCUGGGCUUGAAAACAAGAUAAAUUUUACUAGGGUCUAGAGACACAGGCUACUGAGUAUUGGACCAGCCCUGGCCCUGCGUGGCUCUAGGUCCUGAGGCAUAAUAGGGACACAAGAGUGGGAGCUGAGCCAAGUUUCCUGUUGAAGCCUGGGAUUAGGGGAGAGAAGAAUCACCCCUGUGUUGGGAGUCUAAGAAAUCUGAUUCAUCAUAGGAAUGAAAUGUAAAGGUAUAGUCCUGAGACAGACAAGGAAGAAUACAGGCACAACCUCAUGGGCCUUGUGGCCCCAGAUUGCUGAACACGCCAUGGAAGGUCAUGAUGCUGAACUGCCAAUAAAAAACAACAUUUCUGUACUGCAGACCAGGGAUCCAAUGGG